Long non-coding RNA from Trachemys scripta elegans, 1568 nucleotides. RefSeq lists it as uncharacterized. The record is from RefSeq and is a predicted model, not a curated record. The transcript is spliced from 2 exons. Lineage: Eukaryota; Metazoa; Chordata; Testudines; Emydidae.
CCCCCCCCCCUAUUCUUGCCCUGCUCCAAACCCCCCCGCCCACAGAUCCAGCCUCCACCCCGGCAACCUCGCCAGUCACCCGCUUUCAUAAAUCACAGGCGAAUGAAUGACCCGCGUGGAGCACGUCUGUCCCCACCCCUGAGCCGACAGCGAGCCAGGUCCGGGGACUCGCGCUGUCCGUCCCCGGGGAAGCUGGUCUGCGAGUCCGGCUCGGCGAGCUGCGGCCGGGUGAUUAAUGUCGGACCCCCCCGAACGCGGUGCACGCCAGGGAAGCGCGGAGGCUGCUGCAUCUGCUGCGAGAAGCGGGACUGGGGCUCCCUGCCGCUCCGGGGCUCGCUCGCCUCGCUGGGCUCCUGCUCUCAGCCCGCGGCCCCUGCAAUCGCAUCUUCCAGCGUCAAUGGCGCUAGCUGUGGAGCUGGUCCUCGGCGGCUGACAGCUGUUCCCGGGGCCCUGCCAUCUUCCCCGCUCCCUGGGCGCGUGUGAGAGAGGAAACAAACACAAAGCCAGCGGAGCUCUGCUGCCCACUGCUGCUGACAAACACUUCCGCCAGCCUGCAGCCAGCCCCGCUCCUGCUGCUGCCGCUGGGAGCUCGGCUUUUCCCACGGCAGCCAGCCCACGACAUGCACUACCAGCCAACCCAGACACACACGCAGUGCACACACAUGCAGCUAACGCGCACGGAGCACACAGUCAUGCACAUGUGCACACAGGCGUACACCGUGUGUUUAUGCACCUCCCACAUAAUGCAGAGCACAUGCACAGACAUGCAUACAACACAGUAUACAUACAGGCGCAACACACACACACCCCCCAUCCAUACACACACACGCAGGAGGAUACUGAGCACAGCACAUGCACCCACAGAACAAACAUAUACACACCUAACACACCCUAAGUGCUAUAGAAAUACAUCAUCAUAAUGCUGGAUACAUUUUAGACUGGUUCUGGGGCUUUUAUGCACUCAUUUCUGGUCAUUGCUAUUUUCAGUUUUCAUUCAGAUGCUCAGAGGUUAAUAAGGCACCCUAUGAACAAACAGUAUGGGUUAAGGGCCUGUGGACCAGUUAUUUAAUAAAUAGGAAACCAUUAGAAAUGGCCAAUAGUCCUAUUUAUUUGUUCCAAAGUAAACUUUACAUUCACACACAUUUUUCAUAAAUAUGAAAAACUUGAUUUAGUAAUACUUGGAAAGUGAGAAUUAUCUUCUCUCGAUUGUUUACAUACAUCUGGCCCAGACUGUCCAAGCGUCAUGUUUACUUGCAUGAAGGAACAGAAGAGUCUGUCAGAAAGCAGGCAUGAGACUCAAGGUGUGCCAUCAGUUACAUUCAGCUGCAUAAACUCAUCCAAAUCACCUCUGAUGGGGUUACUGGGAGGUAAGCUUAUCGAGAAAUAAUGAGAAAAAAAUAAAACCCAUUUUCUUUGGCUUAUCUAUGAGGAACCCUUCAAAGCAUGGGUCACUAGCCAACCCAUAUGCCAUAUGGCAGAUUGCCCUUGUUCUCUUAUUAACCUAUGGAGUUUCAUGACAAUUUUAAUUGCAUCUGAACUAUGAAUAAAAGUGAGCAUGGUGAUUUUUA